Molecule: ribosomal RNA, 450 nt
Filed under: uncultured bacterium
Lineage: Bacteria
Description: bacterial SSU rRNA
Rfam family: Bacterial small subunit ribosomal RNA
Source: RNAcentral
CAAGUCGAACGGCAAGCACGGGAGCAAUCCUGGUGGCGAGUGGCGAACGGGUGAGUAAUAUAUCGGAACGUGCCCGGUCGUGGGGGAUAACGUAGCGAAAGCUACGCUAAUACCGCAUACGAUCUACGGAUGAAAGCGGGGAUCGCAAGACCUCGCGCGAUUGGAGCGGCCGAUAUCAGAUUAGGUAGUUGGUGAGGUAAAGGCUCACCAAGCCGACGAUCUGUAGCUGGUCUGAGAGGACGACCAGCCACACUGGGACUGAGACACGGCCCAGACUCCUACGGGAGGCAGCAGUGGGAAUUUUGGACAAUGGGCGCAAGCCUGAUCCAGCAAUGCCGCGUGCAGGAUGAAGGCCUUCGGUUGUAACUGCUUUGUACGGAACGAAACGGUGAGCUCUAAUACAGUUUGCUAAUGACGGUACCGUAAGAAUAAGCACCGGCUAACUACGUG